This 516-nucleotide ribosomal RNA is filed under the name uncultured bacterium. RNAcentral describes it as "bacterial SSU rRNA". It matches the Rfam family "Bacterial small subunit ribosomal RNA", at positions 876 to 1391 of the family's 1533-position model. The record is from RNAcentral.
GGGAGUACCGUCAGCAAUGAUGAAACUCAAAGGAAUUGACGGGGGCCCGCACAAGCGGAGGAACAUGUGGUUUAAUUCGAUGAUACGCGAGGAACCUUACCUGGGCUUAAAUGUAGAGUGCAUAGAGUGGAAACAUUCUUUUCCUUCGGGACUCUUUACAAGGUGCUGCAUGGCUGUCGUCAGCUCGUGCCGUGAGGUGUCGGGUUAAGUCCCAUAACGAGCGCAACCCUCAUCGCCAGUUGCCAUCACAUCAUGGUGGGGACUCUGGUGAAACUGCCGGUGCAAACCGUGAGGAAGGUGAGGAUGACGUCAAAUCAGCACGGCCCUUAUGUCCAGGGCUACACACGUGUUACAAUGGUCGGUACAACGGGCAGCUACACAGCGAUGUGGUGCUAAUCCUAAAAACCGAUCUUAGCUCGGAUCGGAGUCUGCAACUCGACUCCGUGAAGCUGGAUUCGCUAGUAAUCGCACAUCAGCCAUGGUGCGGUGAAUACGUUCCCGGGCCUUGUACACACC